GAUGAACGCUGGCGGCGUGCCUAAUACAUGCAAGUCGAGCGAACAGAUGAGGAGCUUGCUCCUCUGACGUUAGCGGCGGACGGGUGAGUAACACGUGGAUAACCUACCUAUAAGACUGGGAUAACUUCGGGAAACCGGAGCUAAUACCGGAUAAUAUAUUGAACCGCAUGGUUCAAUAGUGAAAGACGGUUUUGCUGUCACUUAUAGAUGGAUCCGCGCCGCAUUAACUAGUUGGUAAGGUAACGGCUUACCAAGGCAACGAUGCGUAGCCGACCUGAGAGGGUGAUCGGCCACACUGGAACUGAGACACGGUCCAGACUCCUACGGGAGGCAGCAGUAGGGAAUCUUCCGCAAUGGGCGAAAGCCUGACGGAGCAACGCCGCGUGAGUGAUGAAGGUCUUCGGAUCGUAAAACUCUGUUAUUAGGGAAGAACAAAUGUGUAAGUAACUAUGCACGUCUUGACGGUACCUAAUCAGAAAGCCACGGCUAACUACGUG
Molecule: ribosomal RNA, 497 nt
Filed under: uncultured bacterium
Lineage: Bacteria
Description: partial 16S ribosomal RNA
Rfam family: Bacterial small subunit ribosomal RNA
Source: RNAcentral